UAAGUUGAAAUAUUAUUAAUUGAAAGAUGAAUGAAGAUUACUACCAGUGAAGAACAUUUGUGAGUGUAUGACGUGCCCAUAAGAUGCCACAUUUUCCUCCAUAAUGAACUGUGUACUAAUGAAGAUGAUUCUGGAAUGUUAUGAUGAACUGUGUACUAAUGAAGAUGAUUCUGGAAUGUUAUGAACAUUGACAUUGAAUAUGAGGAACUGUCAAGUUAGGAUGAAGAUGUCAAGAUGAAGAUGUCAAGAUUU
Molecule: long non-coding RNA, 252 nt
Organism: Biomphalaria glabrata
Lineage: Eukaryota; Metazoa; Mollusca; Gastropoda; Planorbidae
Exons: 2
Source: RefSeq, a predicted model, not a curated record